RNAcentral lists this long non-coding RNA (283 nucleotides) under Hordeum vulgare. RNAcentral's name for it is "long non-coding RNA (HVUL_LNC009275)". Lineage: Eukaryota; Viridiplantae; Streptophyta; Magnoliopsida; Poales; Poaceae. The record is from RNAcentral.
UCUCCUCAUUCUUCUUCUUCUUCUUCUCCUUCUUCUUCUUCUUCUUCUUCUCCUUCUUCUUCUUCUUCUUCUUCUUCUUCUUCUUCUUCUUGUUCUCCCCCUUCUUCUCCUUCUCGUUCGUCUUAUUCUUCUUCUCCUUGUGCUUCUUCUUGUUAGCUAAUUAUCCUCCAAAAUGACAUAAAUAGGUCAUUUAGUUCAUUUAUGACAUAAUUAGUUUAGUUAUGCCAAAAAUAGCAUAAGAACCUUGGUUACUCAUAAAUGGCAUAUACUUAGCUUAUGUUCC